Non-coding RNA from Siniperca chuatsi (mandarin fish), 566 nucleotides. Lineage: Eukaryota; Metazoa; Chordata; Actinopteri; Centrarchiformes; Sinipercidae. The record is from the annotation of a RefSeq genome assembly.
UUUGCAUAUCUGUCCUGCCUCUCUGCUCCCAGCCGUUAAGAGGCCAGUGUUGAUCAGUGGCUGUCCAGGCCUUUCAGAGCCACUGACACGCCGGCAGCACAAUGAUGAUGUCACUGAUUCCACUGCUGGCCACCCUGGGGCUCCUUGUUCAGGGUUCAUCAGGACAAAUCAUCCUGACUCAGUCUCCUGGAUCUCAGUCUGUUGUUCCAGGACAGACUGUCUCUCUCAGAUGUAAAACCAGUACGAGUGUUAGUAGCUACCUCAACUGGUACCUUCAGAAACCUGGAGAAGCUCCUAAACUCCUGAUUUAUCGAGCUACAAGCCGUCCGUCUGGAGUUCCAGGUCGUUUUAGUGGAAGUGGAUCUGGGACUGACUUCACUCUGACCAUCAGUGGAGUUCAGGCUGAAGAUUCAGGAGUUUACUACUGUCAGCAGGGUUACAGCUCGUUCACUUUUGGUGGAGGAACCUCCCAGGCUGCACCGCAGCUACCUGAAGGGCCUGCGCCGUCCUCAUCCUCUACUCCACCCUCCUCCUCGUCAUCAACCACCUGAAUAAUAAUAAUAUAA